This 72-nucleotide transfer RNA is filed under the name Talaromyces pinophilus. RNAcentral describes it as "tRNA-Asp (GTC) (tRNA-Asp-GTC-1 1 to 4)". It matches the Rfam family "tRNA". Rfam says of the family: Transfer RNA (tRNA) molecules are approximately 80 nucleotides in length. Lineage: Eukaryota; Fungi; Ascomycota; Eurotiomycetes; Eurotiales; Trichocomaceae. The record is from RNAcentral. RNAcentral also lists the same sequence under 1 other name.
UCCUCAGUGGUCUACCGGUCAUGAUUGGCGCUUGUCACGCGCUAGAACAGGGUUCGACUCCCUGCUGGGGAG